AGACGUGUGCUCUUCCGAUCUUGGAUGCCUAGGCAGAGAGAGGCGAUGAAGGACGUGGUAAGCUGCGAAAAGCCUCGGGGAGCCGCUAAACAGGCUUUGAUCCGGGGGUGUCCGAAUGGGGAAACCCGGCGGAGGUCAUGCUCCGUCAUCGUGCACUGAAUCCAUAGGUGCAUGAAGCGAACGGGGGGAACUGAAACAUCUAAGUACCCCCAGGAAAAGAAAACAAUAGUGAUUCCGUCAGUAGUGGCGAGCGAAAGCGGAACAGCCCAAACCGAGAGGACUACGGUCCUUUCGGGGUUGUGGGACCCCGACGUGGGAUUGAUGAUGGGUAGCUAAACGGUCUGGAAAGUCCGGCCAUAGUGGGUGAUAGCCCCGUAAGCGAAACCUUGAUUCACCCUAGGGGUAUCCCGAGUACCGCGGGACACGUGGAAUCCCGUGGGAAGCUGGGAGGACCAUCUCCCAAGGCUAAAUACUACUCUCUGACCGAUAGUGCACAAGUACCGUGAGGGAAAGGUGAAAAGUACUCCGAUGAGGAGGGUGAAAUAGAACCUGAAACCGUAUGCCUACAAGCAGUGGGAGCACUAUGUAUAUCAAGUGUGACCGCGUGCCUUUUGCAUAAUGAGUCAGCGAGUUACUCUCGGCAGCGAGGUUAAGCUCAUAGAGUGGAGCCGCAGCGAAAGCGAGUCUGAAUAGGGCGUUUGAGUUGCCGGGAGUAGACCCGAAACCGGGUGAUCUAUCCAUGUCCAGGGUGAAAGGAAGGUAACACUUCGUGGAGGCCCGAACCCACUGGCGUUGAAAAGCCAGGGGAUGAGGUGUGGAUAGGAGUGAAAGGCUAAUCAAACUCGGAGAUAGCUGGUUCUCCCCGAAAUAUAUUUAGGUAUAGCCUCGAGAUAGGCUGCCGGAGGUAGAGCACUGAUUGGACUAGGGGGCCUACAAGCCUACCAAACCCAGUCAAACUCCGAAUGCCGGCAAGUCGUUUCUCGGGAGUCAGACGGCGUGAGCUAACUUUCGUCGUCGAAAGGGAAACAACCCAGACCGCCAGCUAAGGCCCCCAAGUAUCAGUUAAGUGUGAAAGGAUGUGGGAGCGCCCAGACAACCAGGAAGUUAGCUUAGAAGCAGCUAUCUUUUAAAGAAAGCGUAAUAGCUCACUGGUCAAGCGAACCUGCGCCGAAAAUAUAACGGGGCUCAAACUGAUCGCCGAAGCUGCGGAAUCAAUAUGAUUGGUAGGGGAGCUUUCCCUGGGCGGUGAAGCUGGAUCGUAAGGGCCAGUGGAGCGCAGGGAAGUGAGGAUGUUGGCAUGAGUAACGAAAAUGCGGGCGAGAAACCCGCACGCCGAAAGUCCAAGGGUUCCCGUGGCCAUGUUAAUCAGCCCGGGGUUAGUCGGCCCCUAAGGCGAGGCCGAAAGGCGUAGUCGAUGGGAAACAGGCUAAUAUUCCUGUACUGAAAGUUGCGCGCGAUGGAGGGACGCAGCAGGAUAGGUCAGCCGGGUGACGGAUAUCCCGGUUUAAGGUCGUAGUCGGUCUGCUUAGGUAAAUCCGGGCAGGCAACGACGAGAGCUGAUGACGAGAGGUUCGCCUCACAAAGUGAUUGAUUCCACACUGCCAAGAAAAGCUUCUAAGUAUAGUAACUUUCAACCGUACCCCAAACCGACACAGGUGGACUGGUAGAGAAUACCAAGGCGCUUGAGUGAUAUCACGUUAAGGAACUCUGCAAAAUAGCUCCGUAUCUUCGGUAGAAGGAGUGCCUCCAGUAUGUGAAUGGGCUUGCCCCAAGAGCAGACAGAGGCCGCAGUGAAAGGGCCCAGGCGACUGUUUAGCAAAAACAUAGCACUCUGCUAAAUCGCAAGAUGACGUAUAGGGUGUGACGCCUGCCCGGUGCCGGAAGGUUAAGAGGAGGAGUCAGCGCAAGCGAAGCUGCGAAUCGAAGCCCCGGUAAACGGCGGCCGUAACUAUAACGGUCCUAAGGUAGCGAAAUUCCUUGUCGGGUAAGUUCCGACCUGCACGAAUGGCGUA
Molecule: ribosomal RNA, 2012 nt
Filed under: seawater metagenome
Description: bacterial LSU rRNA
Rfam family: Bacterial large subunit ribosomal RNA
Source: RNAcentral